Molecule: ribosomal RNA, 773 nt
Filed under: uncultured Neocallimastigales
Lineage: Eukaryota; Fungi; Neocallimastigomycota; Neocallimastigomycetes; Neocallimastigales
Description: partial large subunit ribosomal RNA
Rfam family: Eukaryotic large subunit ribosomal RNA
Source: RNAcentral
AGAGGAGACAUGCGCGCAUAUCAAUAAGCGGAGGAAAAGAAACUAACAAGGAUUCCCCUAGUAACGGCGAGUGAAGCGGGAAGAGCUCAAAUUUGAAAUCUUAAAGGGUUUCCCUUUACGAAUUGUAGUUUAAAGAAGUGUUUUCUGUUGAGGUUUUGGUAAAAGUUCUUUGGAAUAGGACAUCAUAGAGGGUGAGAAUCCCGUAUUUGACCUUUACUUUCAACUUUGUGAUACACUUUCAAAGAGUCGGAUUGUUUGGGAAUGCAGUCCAAAAUGGGUGGUAAAUUUCAUCUAAAGCUAAAUAUUGGCGAGAGACCGAUAGCGAACAAGUACCGUGAGGGAAAGAUGAAAAGAACUUUGAAAAGAGAGUUAAACAGUACGUGAAAUUGUCAAAAGGGAAGCGUUUGACACCAGUGUUGUUUUUCUGAAAAUCAAUUAAAGAACUGUUUAUGCUAAGCUGUUUAGACUUUAUCAGCUAUCUGUUUAGUUUUGAGCUUUUCUUUAAUGCACUUUUCAGUUAACAAGUCAACAUCAAUUUCUUUUGCUGUAAAAAAGCUUGAGGAAGGUGGCUUGAGAUUCGUCUUAAGUGUUUAUAGCCUCUUGCCUAUGCAGUCGGAGAGAUUGAGGUCUGCAGCGUAGAUCCUUCGGGGCUAAAUGCAUUUGUGCUAAGUUAUAGCAUUUUAUAGACAACUUGUUGACUAUGAUUUGUCUUGUAGCUUACUCGCUUAUGUUAUUUUACCUACGCUUAGGAUGUUGAGCGCAUGUCUCUCUCU